GCCCUUGAGUUUGAUCAUGGCUCAGAAUGAACGCUGGCGGCGUGCCUAACACAUGCAAGUCGUACGAGAACUCUUUAAGCUUGCUUAGAGAUAGUAAAGUGGCGCACGGGUGAGUAACGCGUGGGCAAUCUGCCUCCAAGAUCGGGAUAACUCGCCGAAAGGCGUGCUAAUACCGGAUAAUAUUUUAGGAACGCAUGUUCCAAAAAUCAAAGAUGGCCUCUACAUGUAAGCUGUUGCUUGGAGAGGAGCCCGCGUACCAUUAGCUUGUUGGUAGGGUAACGGCCUACCAAGGCUGCGAUGGUUAGCUGGUCUGAGAGGAUGACCAGUCACAUUGGAACUGAAACACGGUCCAGACUCCUACGGGAGGCAGCAGUGAGGAAUUUUGCGCAAUGGGGGAAACCCUGACGCAGCAACGCCGCGUGAGUGAAGAAGGCCUUUGGGUUGUAAAGCUCUGUCAAGUGGGAAGAAACUAUUCGAUGCAAAUACCAUCGGGUACUGACGGUACCGCUAAAGGAAGCACCGGCUAACUCCGUGCCAGCAGCCGCGGUAAUACGAAGGGC
This 560-nucleotide ribosomal RNA is filed under the name uncultured delta proteobacterium. RNAcentral's name for it is "bacterial SSU rRNA". It matches the Rfam family "Bacterial small subunit ribosomal RNA", at positions 1 to 533 of the family's 1533-position model. The record is from RNAcentral. Lineage: Bacteria; Deltaproteobacteria.